ACUCCUACGGGAGGCAGCAGUAGGGAAUCUUCGGCAAUGGGGGCAACCCUGACCGAGCAACGCCGCGUGAGUGAAGAAGGUUUUCGGAUCGUAAAGCUCUGUUGUAAGAGAAGAACGUGUGUGAGAGUGGAAAGUUCACACAGUGACGGUAACUUACCAGAAAGGGACGGCUAACUACGUGCCAGCAGCCGCGGUAAU
Molecule: ribosomal RNA, 198 nt
Filed under: uncultured bacterium
Lineage: Bacteria
Description: partial 16S ribosomal RNA
Rfam family: Bacterial small subunit ribosomal RNA
Source: RNAcentral